AGCUUGCUGGCGGAGCCAGCCGUUGUCCCGGCUCUCGUCUGGGAGGAUCGCGACGGUCGGGAAUCCGUCGUACGCAGCC
RNAcentral lists this transfer RNA (79 nucleotides) under compost metagenome. RNAcentral describes it as "tRNA-Glu". The record is from RNAcentral.